RNAcentral lists this long non-coding RNA (3904 nucleotides) under Bemisia tabaci. RNAcentral's name for it is "lncRNA ENSSSA1UGG010940". The record is from RNAcentral. Lineage: Eukaryota; Metazoa; Arthropoda; Insecta; Hemiptera; Aleyrodidae.
AUGUGUUUUGCAUUCUGUUUUUUGCAGAUGAAGUGCUCCUUUUUCAACACUCCUGAUUGUCUUCAGACCAUUGAUGAGGAUAUAAGGGAAUUUAAGAAAACAUUUGGUAAUUUUACGACUCAUAAGGCAGAAACGUUGCUACUAGAAAUAAUUGAAACACUGGAUUUUUUCUCUUCUGAUGAGAAUAGUAAAAUUGGAAAUUUACUGAAGUUAAAGGAGACGGUUGAGGCUCUGGAAAACGAAAUCAAGGAAGAGUACUCAGGUGAUAGCUCCUUAGAAAAUUUUGUAGCGUUGGAGAAGGAGAUAAAAUGCAUGGCAAAAACUUGCUCAGAUCUUCAGCGGGAACGGAAGGAACUCCAGGAAAAUAUUGAGAAAUUACAUUCUUUAUGGACCCAAAAAAAUUAUGAAAUGGAUGAAAUCAUUGACAAGGUGAUGGACAAGUUCAACCAAUUAGAACAAAUUACCAAACUAUACGAGAAGCACCUUGGUGUUUAUUUGUGUCCUGUAGGUGACAGUUCUUUCCGAUUGAUGUUUAAUAAUGAUCUAAAACAACCUUUGUUCAUCAAUUUGAAGUAUGAAAAUGGUUUGAUCAAAAUCGUAAAUGUUAACACGAGCACCCAGGACAAAGAAGCCAUUUUGAAAAAAGUUAAAUCCUCUUCAGAUUAUCAAGGACUUUUAUUUUUGAUGGAUUCGUACAGGAAGUAAGAAAUUGGUCAGGUAAGAUAAUGUGAAGAUAGUGCUUUUUAUUGAUUCACUCAGGGUUUCAAAAAGGGCAGCGCACUGAUUAUCCAGAAAUUUGGCGCCUGCUUCGUUUUGGUAUUAUUUGAUAAGAUGUUCGUUCCGGCCUUCUGAAUACGUUGAGCUUUCAAAAUCUGACUUUUGUCAAGGUCGAGAAAAGCAGGGCUGAGAAGUGAAUUUAUUGGCUUUCCUACAUGCGUUUUCUGACGAAAUUUUGGAGCUGUCGUUAAACGAGAAAGAAAAUGAAAUUCAAUUGAAUAAAUGUUCAAUCGGUCAAUUUAUCUCUACUUAAAAAAUAAGGCACAGUUUGAUCUUAUAAAGUCCAAUCGGCAGGACUUUUCAACAUUCAACUUACUGCCAGUAUGUGCCUCAAUUUGUAAUUUAUAUUUUAUAUGUCUUUUAAUUUUCAUUUUGCACUCUUUAAUGUAUGAUUGAGGAUAUUUUAAUUUUGCCUUUGGAGUGCUUAAACCUCUAUAUUUUUUACUCUGGAUCCAUGUUGGGGUGUAAAAUUAAUAUUUUGCUGGUUAAAUUAAAUGAAAUAUGUAGUUGUGUGUGCAUUUCAUCAUCUAUUGUACCUGAGCUUUUUGAAAAAUUAAGGAACCAACUCUGUUGCGAUUGUAAGCAAUAGUGAAUAUCCUAGGAGAUCAUUUAUCUUUUAAACUCAUGUUCAGACUUUUUUUAAUCUGUUGUCAACUGCAUAUUUGCUCUGUUUUCCACUCAAUAAAUUAUUAAUUUUUUUCAAGUAUUCCUUUGACUGGCCAUUCUUGCUCCUACAAUUCAUGCAGUUGAAUGAUAAAAUGCUAAAUUUCUUUACAAAGUUUAAGAUAUUUUGUCCCCCCUAACUGAUAGCAAAUUCAGGUUUUAGUGAAGUGAGAAUAUUAGUCGUAACCACCUUAGUGCUUAAAAUGUAGAACUUAACUCGAGGUAUUGGCUACUUUGCUUGGGAUGUUGUUCAACAAGCAUUUUAGCACAAAAACCGCCCAAAAAGUUUCCGUCAACCCGGAUUCUGGCGAUUUAAAAUAGACAGCUCAGAGUUUAUAGUUUUGCGUGAAAGCAAUUUAAAGAUUCCAUCUGCCAAGUUUGAGCUCAAAAUCAUUUGAUUAAAAUGCAACUUAAUACCCUCUACUGGCGGUCAUUAAAGUGAACUAAACCGUUCGUAACUUAUUUUCAGGGGGACUAGAAAAUCCAGAGUUUGCAGCGAUCUGGAAAACCAGAGAAUUCAUGGAGAAAGUCAGGGAAUUUUAAGAGCAGAGUAGGCUCAGUGAUGCAGCUAUACCUUUAGAGUAAGUGCGAAUAACUUUUGAGUGCCUUUGAGCAUAAUUUGAAUCCCUAGAAAAGGAAAUUUCGUCCAAGGUUUGGAAAAAGUCACUGUGAUUAACGGAUAAAAACCCAAGUUAAAGUUUUAUGGGGAGCUCACAGGAAGUCAGAGAAUUCGGAAAUUUUGGAGUCAGGGAACUGAAAAAUGAAGAAUUAUUGAAACCCUGGAGAGUAUUUUACAUAAAAAUUCAAAAUCUCUUUCAUAAUGCUAAUUUAACAAAAAUAGCUCUCCUCUAAUAGUUUAAACCCCUGCGCAAUAACAUUUUCUUUGACUUUUGAUGGUCACACUUAAACAUUGUAGAAGCAUUUUCAUUGUCAGGUAUCAAUGAUAUCAAGUCUUCCCACUGCUUAAUUUUCAAAUACAGUAUUCUUAUUUGAUAAUUAAUGAAAUAAAAUGGAGUAGUUUGUAACAAAAAUUUUAUUUUUAUUUAAGUCCAUCAACCACCAGUUCUGGCACCUUAAAUAUACAAAAUUUAAACAGUAAACUUAACGGUAUUCAACCAUCGUUGUAAGUAAUACAAUUAAAGGGAUAAAAGUUUCUUAAGUUCAUUAAAAGUUGGUAACAAUGAUUCCCACCUUAAUAUGCGGUGAUAACAUAAGAAUAAAUUUUGAAAAAUGAUAACAAUUUUUUUUGACUAGUUCAACCUUAGCACCCUUUUCCUGAUUAAAAUAUAUCCAGCCAAACCAUUAAGUAGAGUUCCCCCUUUUGAAAAAACAACAAUACUCAGAGGCUGUGAAAGGGUCCCUUAAGGGAUUCAAUUAAGUACGUGCUACAUAUACACAAUUUUAACAAAUCGAAUUACAUUUUGAAAAGAAAAACAGAGGUCCUACAAAGUAAAAGAAUCCGGAGAUGUGUUCUCUGCUGUAUGAGUUCAUAACUACAAAAUUGAUGUCUAAGGAAAUAUUGAUUAAGGUGAAAGGUCCCAUGAUUUAAUCCGGUCAAACUGACGUUCGGAAAGACAAUAUUUGAAUUUUAUGCUCAAAAAAGGUGAGAGCCAGAGCUCAAAGUUUGCCCAGAUUUGUGACCUAAUCUGCUGAUUUGCCCACCACAUAUCUAUGAGAUGAACAACUUCAAAACAAAGCGGAUAGGAGAUAUUUGAAUAUAACUGCAUUUUGAUGUGACAAUUUAAAUGCGGCUGAUAUGGAUGAUUCCUUCGAACCUUUCUUUGAAAUUUCCUUUUAAUGAACCUCUGUUAUGAAUCACGAAGAUAUUUUGCAAGCUUUUUCAUUCAAAAAGUUUUCGUUGAGAUUGAUUUAAAAAUAAAUUUUCAACACCGUUUUUGUCCAAAACUAAAAGAACAGAAGGCUCUUUAAACCAAUGCUAGUCUUAAAUUUAUCACGGGGCUCUUGGUGACUGGUCUGUAUCCAGGCACGUAUCCAGGAUUUUAUUUUGGGGGGGGCUUGGUUGGGUGAAGGAGUGUCUGAGCGUCCAUCUGACACUGGGGGGUAAUACCCCCCAGCAUAAAGGGGGGUCCGGGGGGCCUCCCCCGGAAAAUUUUGAAAUUUAAAUUCAUCUGGGCGCAUUCUGAGGCUUCUGUGAUGCAAAUUUGCUGUCAAUUUCUGUGGAAAAAUUACGUUUUUUUUUACUUUCAGCGCAGAAUACUUUCGAAGUGUUGCAGUCGACACAGAUCGAUCCGGUAAUUUUUUGAAAUUUUAAAUUCAUCUGGGCGCAUUCUGAGGCGUUUGUGAUGCAAAUUUGCUGUCAAUUUCUGUGGAAAAAUUACGUUUUUUUUACUUUCAGCGCAGAAUAACUUCCUUUUUUCUCGCCCUUCCUUAUUUUCUGUCUCUCCUUUUCUUCGUUUCUCUCCUCUUUCUCUAAUUUCGGGGGGGGCUUGAGCCCCCCAAGUCC